GUCAAGAGUGUCACUGUAGCAACUUCUUGGGGAGAGAAUUCAUUUGCAUUUUUCCAUCUUUUAUUACAAAAAUAAAAAAUUCCCUCCCCUUUUCCUUCUUUUCUCUCCCCAACAGCCUCUCUUCCUCCUUCCCCCACUCCCUUCCUUUCCGCCGCCUGUCCCCUUCUUUCAGCUGUCGCAAACUCUUUCUUCUUGCCCCUCCCUUGCCGACGUUGCCUACUUCUUCUUCUUUCUUGCUGCCAACGACGAGUUAAAGGAAGGAAAGCUCCUCCAUCGCUACCACCGCAAGAACAGCCGUCUGCCAUCGCCUUUUCACCAAUCCAACUCCAAAAUCGUGUUCCCCACCAUCAAUAACCCAAAGCCCGCUCUUCCCCCCCGUUUUUCCUCGCCGGCAGUAGUGGGUGAGUCUCGUCGGAGUCAAAACUUUCCCCCUUGAUACGGUGACUUCCGGCGAGUUUCAAGCGAAGAGAUUUGCAUAUUCGGACUCCCCACAACUCAACCUUCACGUACGCGCUUAUAAAUUUGAAAUUCAUCACUAUUGGCUUCACUAGCUUUCGGACCCCGGCGUUUCCUAGACAUGCAGAAGUUCAGGAUAGGAAAAAUAAUGCAGUUUUGGCGCCCGUCUACCACUGUACGAGGUGUAGACAUUCAUAUUUUAGUAGAGGUUUUGUCGAAUUUUUGGUAGACUUUUCGAGUCGGAAUUUCUUAGGCAGUCUAAUCUUAGAGUCUAGGCCUAGGAGAAAUUAAGAAUAUCUUAUUAAUUGAAUUAUUUUCAUGAAUAGAUAAUUCGUUCGUCUAGCCAGCUCUGCCCGAAGAGUAGGAGCAAACUGCGGAGCGCCGCAGAACUGACCGCGUUGCAGUAGUAAAAGAAUAUUUUUGAGACUUGCCCUCGUCGAUUACAAAUCUCUAGGCUGUGAGAAUUUGACUAUCGGAGGAAGAGUUCAUGGUUAAGUGUUGCUCUCUAGGCACCAGCUUUAUUAGGAAUUAAGUGACUAGGCUCGAUUUAACGACCUUGGUUGAGCUUUGCUCUCUGGGCGCCAAUCCUAUUGGAAUAAAAGAGCUGCUAGUAUUGGGGUUAGGGUUCUGCUGAGAUAUUCGUCCCAUAAAGUUUAAAUUAUAUUUCUUUCUGAAUCAUGGCAUGACACGCGUUUUAAUAUGAUAUAAUAUUCUAUUCU
Ricinus communis (castor bean) is the source of this 1175-nucleotide long non-coding RNA. RefSeq lists it as uncharacterized. The transcript is spliced from 3 exons. Lineage: Eukaryota; Viridiplantae; Streptophyta; Magnoliopsida; Malpighiales; Euphorbiaceae. The record is from RefSeq and is a predicted model, not a curated record.